Xyrauchen texanus (razorback sucker) is the source of this 4796-nucleotide long non-coding RNA. RefSeq lists it as uncharacterized. Lineage: Eukaryota; Metazoa; Chordata; Actinopteri; Cypriniformes; Catostomidae. The record is from RefSeq and is a predicted model, not a curated record. The transcript is spliced from 6 exons.
UUACUUUCAGUGACUGCUUCUUCCAGGAUUUAUGCUUGUUUUGUAAUAAUUUUUUUUUUUAUUAAUUCUAUAUACAUACAUAUAGGCCUAUACAAGAGCAAAACAAGAAAAAUAUACAUAUAUAAAUGGAAACAUUUAAACCCCACCCUAUCCCCCAACAAACACCCCUGUGGUUACAUAAAAGUAUAUACAGAUGAUUAUAGACACACAUAACAAUAAAUAACAGCUGCUAAUUGUUCCAGGGCUAGACAGAACAACCCUGCCGGGUGACCUUAUCCAAAGUCAAAUAGUAAGAAAUUAGUAAAUGUUUUAGUAGGACUAUCGCCGCUACCGGGUAGGCCUAUCUAUAAAGUAACUUAUUCCAACCAAUAAAAAGUACUCCCAAACCCAUACAUUUCCAAAAACGUCUACAAUAUCAAACGCCUUUUGCAACAUAUCAAGUGAGAUGGCAGCGACCGGAGUCUGAACAUUCGACACUGACCACAUGAUAUUGAUAAGAAGUCUGAAUGUUAUCAGAAGAGCUACGGCCCAAAUAAACCCCACCUGAUAUAUAUGUAUAAGUGAUGUCAUAACUUUAUUUAAUCGUUAGCCAGAAUUUUGGACAACAUUUUUACAUCUACUGGAUCAGGGAAAUUGGAUGGUAGCUUUUACACUCGCUUGGAUCUUUGUCCUUUUAAUAAUCAGACUGAUGUGGGCUUGUGUCAUGGUUGGCAGAAGCUUUCCAUUCUUUUAAUGAUUCCGUAUAAACAAAAGUGUCGCCAGAUCUGUAUGGGGGUGUGCGAUAUUGACAAAAAAUCUCGAUAUUUUCUGAGAUUUUGCCGAUAACGAUAAACAGACGAUAUUAUGCAUCCUUCAAACAAAAAAAAAUUGUUUAAGGCUUAUAUUGUACUAGUUCCCUCUUACAACAUAUUAAUAGCAUAACAUGAUAAUAUUGAUUGUUGAUAUUAUUAAUAAAAUCAAAAAACUUUAUAAAAGACAUCCUUUGUGUGAGCAUGUAGAUAUUUUGCGGUCUUCCGUAGUAUUUAUUCUCAAACUGGACGGGAACUUCAGUGUAAAAGUGAUCUUCCGUCAAUCCAAAAGUUUCCAAAAGUUUCUUUAAGGAAGAGUGUUCUUCACAAAACAAACUCUGCCUGCUAGGCGGAGCCAACAAAAGAAACAAAAAUGACACCAAAAGCCAGAGUAAGUACAGCGAGUCGACCCACUCACACGAGAAACACCCUGUGGUUUACACACCCAUUGAUUCUAUAAAAGACAGCGCCUGUUUCGGACAUGUAAAUACUUUACAACCAUCCUUUGCUUCUAUUCUCAGCUUGGCCGGAAACAUCAAUGCAAAAGCGAUCUUACGUUGAUGCAAGUGUUUCUUGCAUUCCCUGAACUGAUCGCGUAUCUCUCCUUUCGAACUCGCAAAGUCCGGGAAAAGAAAAUAUUAUAAUUCUUCCAAGAAAGCUUUCCUUUGCUCCUCUCCUGGCGCAACACAAGAUCUUUAUUGGAUGAUCUCAGAAAUUUGGCCAGGAUUGAACAGGGCCUUUCUCCCUCAGCAGAUCUCCAGGCUGGAUCUCUGUGAGCUCGCUCGAUUUCCAGCUUGUGGCCUGUUAUAUUGAGCAAACUUGGGAAAAGCUUGUCUAGGAAUUUCACCAUAUCUCUGCCUUCCUCAUGCUCAGGAAUUCCAACAAUUCGUACGUUAUUCCUGCUGCUUCUAUUCUCAAAAUUUUCAAGCUUUUCAAGAUUAUGUUCCAAAUCAACUUUGGUCGUGGAUUAGCGGAUAAUUCCCUCUCUGAUGACUCCAGAUAUUCGAUUUGUUUCUCAACAUCUGCCACUCUUGUAACUAACUCAGAGAAUUGUAUUUCCAUCGCCGUAAUCGAUCGACGUAUUACAGCGAAAUCCUCCAUCAGCAAGAACCUUCGUCGGCAUCACCGACAUGUUGACACUGGAUCUCCUCCACCGCUGCGGCAUCUAAAUCCCCGGUCUGUAGGCCUGAACAUGUAAGUGUCUUUUAAUGUCUUCUGUUUGCUUAUAAAUUAAGCGAUUGAGCAGUGUGACGUUGACUUGAUGUUCAUUUCAGUCCCGAAAUACGAAAAUAGCCUGAAAAUAAAUCCCUAAAUUAACCCUUUGCUCUUGAAAUAAAAAUUUUUUAAAAACGAAUGUUGACAUUCUUUGCCCUUGUGUGCAAGACAUAUAUACCUAUUAACAUCUAAAAAAAUAUAUUAUAAUAAGUUGUGGUGUUUCAAGACCCUUUAAAUAUUGAUCUGUUUCUAACCAACACUUAUCAUAUCCCUUCUGAAGAUAUAGAUUUAACCAUUGAAGUCAAAUGGAUUACAUAUUAUGCUGCUUUUAUGUGCUUUUUGGAGCUUCAGAAUUUUGAGAAAGAAAGUCAUACACUUCUGUGAUGGCUUGAGCGUGAGUAAGUGAUGAGAGUAUUUUCAUUUUUGGGUGAACAAAAAUGACACAAAAACACUAAACUUCCACUCUGUUUAGUCUCACUAACAAAAUUCAGCACUUCCCUUACUUCAUAAUCAGGGCCAUUGUUGGGAAGUGACCAACGGGAACAUUGUUCCAGGCCUUUUGACAAGGAAGGCCAUUGAGGUCCUCUAUCAGAUAGACUACUCAGAGAGUGUGGGAGAAGGGGGCCCACUUAUAAAAAGUUUUGUCCCAGGCCCCAAGAAUUUAAGUACUGGUCCUGGUUUAGAUGUCACAUCUGAUACUUGUUCUACAUUAUAAACAGUUAUUCUUGCUUUUGGCUUGGUACUCAAUUUGCUACCUGCUUUGGUUAUAAAUCAUAUGCUGGGAAAGUUUUAGAACAAAUUGUUCAUGCUACUGUAUACAAGUUCCAUUGUUCUCAUUAAUUCCAGAUUUGAGUGUUUGAUUGAGAGUCUGAAGAAACUAAAGAUGAGGCGAGAACAUGUCUUCCCAAGAAAAAACAGAGGGAUGGCCUUGUUAGAGUAAGAGGAUAGGUGGCAAGAAGGAAAAGUUGGUUUCCACAAACCUCAUGUGCACAAGUAAUAACAGUUUCAGACAUUUGGUCACCAGCGCUAUAUGUAAUCAUGCAUAGUCACACAUUUGCAAUCUGCUGAGAUGUGUGUCUACUCUAUCGCUUUAUUAUUUAGAGAUCAUCCUGUGCCACUUAUGAAUGAAUAAUGUUUAUUUUGAAUUAUUCAUAAAUGUGAAGUAGAACGCAGUUUGCUCUAACUCGUUUCUUCUUUCUUAUUGUUUUACUUUGAAUCUCUCUUUUUCAUUUAACCCCGUUUACUUGAUUUCUUUUUCUUGUACCUUUUGUUAGGUUGCUGGAAACCAACUUCAAAAAAUCGAGACAAAAGACAAAAUUGUAUAAGAGUGUUCCAUUCUUCUUCCCACUAUGCGGAAAAGCUGUAGGCAUGAAAUGGUUGGCUGACAUGGGUCAUAUGGUUGUUGAUCUUUGAAGACCAAAGUCUUGCUUACAAUGAAGAACCAGUACCAGCUAUUCCUGGAGCGAAGGUGUUCAAGGUAUUUGGAGGUCUGCUUUUGGUACCCACAGUGGACACAAACCAGUGAUGAAAGAAGCUAAAGGGGAUUACAGUUCCUAUAAAUAAUUGUGACGAGGAGGAGGGUGCAUGGCCAGUGAUGAAUCAGCUGAUCAUCAUGAGGACGAGAUAAGGGGAGCCGGAGACGCCAGUUCAGAGAGAGAGAGAGACACACACGCAGUGGCGUUGCAUGUGUGUCCUUGUGUUUAUGUUUGUGUUAUGUUGAGUUUCUAAUUAAACUUUACAUGUACUGUGCAGCCGGUUCUCGCCUACUCCUUGCCCGUCCUUAUACUGUUACAAUCAUACAACGAGUUACUAGUUGUAUUGAUAGAAUGGCAUUUGGCGUGUGGCUUAAUGGGUGCCUUAGAUUAUUUUCAGAUGAAAUCCUCUCAGUGUAGUACUUCAGCUUUCUUUAAUGGAAGUAGACAGCUUUAUGGUUCUGUGUGAGUUACAUGUGACGCCCACUGAACUAAUGCAUUUCCCUUGUUCUCAGAGUGCAGAUAGAAAGAUCUCAUCUAUCAGUGUGAUUUAUACAAGUUCUCCAGUCCAAAACACAGUGACAUUGCCGGAAAGUUGGGAGGAAUUUGGGAUAGAGGAGCACUGGUGGCUAUAAACCCAUGUGACAGGACAAAGUAUGCUACUCUCCUUGUUUGCUUAAUGGACAGCGACUGCAGAUAUCUUGUGAACACAUUGGAAUAUGAUCCUGAGCUGUAUAAAGGUCCACCAUUUUUUGUAUCUGAAAGAUGUAAAACAAUUUAUUUGUAAUUAUUACAAUGAGUGUGUCAUACCAGGAGGGGCCUAUGACAUUGAACUGCUACAGUGUGUAGAUAGCUUUGAGGAGAAACACAAAACAUGGAGACUGGAAUCAAUGACAGAGAAAGUGUACCUCCUCACUCCAAAAGACCAAUGAUUAAUUAGUUAUCACCAAACGAAACAAUGGCAGUUGUUGGUCUAGUGGUUGGGACAUUGUAUGCCUAGCUGAAUAACAGCUGCCUCCAUAUUACCCCUCUUCGUUUUAGAUUUAAGGAUCAUAAAAAUUAACGAUCAAAUGCAAUAAAUAAUUUGGUAAACCAGUAUAAACAAUAGUUAGCUGUAUAAAGCCAAUUACAAAAUGCUUUCCAUUCACCCAUUUUUUAUUUUUAUUUUUUGUCAAAUUUGGUAAUUACUGUAAUACUUGAUUUGAUCAUUUAAAAACUCAAUGUAAAAACAUUAAAUAAAGUAUGCUGAUUUUUUAUUGAUGUUGUGUAUUUCAAAACUGGACCAGAGGCAUUUUGUUUCCUGCACUACACAUACUUUCUC